GAUGAAGAACGCAGCGAAAUGCGAUAAGUAAUGUGAAUUGCAGAAUUCAGUGAAUCAUCGAAUCUUUGAACGCACAUUGCGCCCGCCAGUAUUCUGGCGGGCAUGCCUGUUCGAGCGUCAUUACAACCCUCAGGCCCCCGGGCCUGGCGUUGGGGAUCGGCGGAAGCCCCCUGCGGGCACAACGCCGUCCCCCAAAUACAGUGGCGGUCCCGCCGCAGCUUCCAUUGCGUAGUAGCUAACACCUCGCAACUGGAGAGCGGCGCGGCCACGCCGUAAAACACCCAACUUCUGAAUGUUGACCUCGAAUCAGGUAGGAAUACCCGCUGAACUUAAGCAAAUCAAUAAGCGGAGGA
This 353-nucleotide unclassified non-coding RNA is filed under the name soil metagenome. RNAcentral's name for it is "partial contains 5.8S ribosomal RNA, internal transcribed spacer 2, and large subunit ribosomal RNA". The stretch from base 1 to 120 matches the Rfam family "5.8S ribosomal RNA", at positions 35 to 154 of the family's 154-position model. The record is from RNAcentral.